This is a long non-coding RNA of Alosa sapidissima (American shad), 244 nucleotides long. RefSeq lists it as uncharacterized. Lineage: Eukaryota; Metazoa; Chordata; Actinopteri; Clupeiformes; Clupeidae. The transcript has 3 exons. The record is from RefSeq and is a predicted model, not a curated record.
CAAAGUCACUGUCAGAUGGAACCAGUAAACAGACAGCUUGUGAAUAUCUUGGUUGCUGACAUGGUGGAGGUGCAUGGAUGGAUCCCUUCCCAAGCUGUUUGAGUGAAGUAUGCCCAAGGCAUUGUGGCCUUGUUGCCAUAUCUUAAGGACCCAUUGUCGAAGCAUGGAUAUGAACACUUUUAUGAUGCAGCAUCAGGCUCUGGGUACAUUGCAUGGCGUCUUAAGACUGUACAACAAAGCCUAU